CCUACGGGUGGCAGCAGUGGGGGAUAUUGCACAAUGGGGGGAACCCUGAUGCAGCGACGCCGCGUGGGUGAAGAAGCGCCUCUGCGCUUAAAGCCCUUUCAGCAGGGAAGAAAAGGACGGUACCUGAAGAAGAAGCCCCGGCCAACUACGUUCCAGCAGCCGCGGUACUACGUCGGGGGCAGGUGUUAUCCGGAUUUACUGGGUGUUAUGGGGGCGCAGACGGCGUUGCAAGCAAGGAGGGAAAGCCUGGGGCCCAACCCCGGGACUGCGAUUGAAACUGCGUGGCUGGAGUGCAGGAGGGGCAGGCGGAAUUCCUGGUGUAGCGGUGAAAUGCGUAGAUAUCAGGAGGAACACCGAUGGCGAAGGCGGAUUGCUGGACAGUAACUGACGCUGAGGCGCGAAAGCGUGGGGAGCAAACAGGAUUAGAUACCCCUGUAGUC
Molecule: ribosomal RNA, 440 nt
Filed under: uncultured bacterium
Lineage: Bacteria
Description: partial 16S ribosomal RNA
Rfam family: Bacterial small subunit ribosomal RNA
Source: RNAcentral